CGAUGCCACUAGCGAUCGGCGGUGGCUAUUAAACCCUGCCUGGGAGCUUCCCGGAAACGAAAGUCUUCGGGUUCCGGGGGUAGUAUGGUUGCAAAGCUGAAACUUAAAGGAAUUGACGGAAGGGCACCACCAGGAGUGGAGCCUGCGGCUUAAUUUGACUCAACACGGGAAAACUCACCCGGCCCGGACACUGUAAUGAUUGACAGAUUGAGAGUUCUUUCUUGAUUCGGUGGUUGGUGGUGCAUGGCCGUUCUUAGUUGGUGGAGUGAUUUGUCUGGUUUAUUCCGAUAACGAACGAGACUCUAACCUGCUAAAUAGUUCUGCAGUAGCUUCGCUGCAGCAACUUCUUAGAGGGAUCAGUGGUGUUUAGCCACACGAAAUUGAGCAAUAACAGGUCUGUGAUGCCCUUAAAUGUUCGGGGCUGCAUGCGCGCUACAAUGGAAGGAUCAGCGUGCCUCUUCCUUGGUCGAAAGACCUCGGUAAACAUGUGAAAACCUUUCGUGAUCGGGCUAGUGGAUUGCAAUUAUUCCACUUCAACGAGGAAUUCCCAG
RNAcentral lists this ribosomal RNA (551 nucleotides) under Oigolaimella sp. NK2011_2. RNAcentral describes it as "SSU rRNA". It matches the Rfam family "Eukaryotic small subunit ribosomal RNA", at positions 1037 to 1617 of the family's 1831-position model. Lineage: Eukaryota; Metazoa; Nematoda; Chromadorea; Rhabditida; Diplogasteridae. The record is from RNAcentral.